This 253-nucleotide ribosomal RNA is filed under the name uncultured bacterium. RNAcentral describes it as "partial 16S ribosomal RNA". It matches the Rfam family "Bacterial small subunit ribosomal RNA", at positions 524 to 776 of the family's 1533-position model. The record is from RNAcentral.
UACGUAGGGGGCGAGCGUUGUCCGGAUUUAUUGGGCGUAAAGAGCGUGUAGGCGGCUUGGUAAGUCCGCUGUGAAAGUCCAGGGCUCAACCCUGGAAUGCCGGUGGAAACUGUCAAGCUUGAGUCCGGAAGAGGCGAGUGGAAUUCCUGGUGUAGCGGUGAAAUGCGCAGAUAUCAGGAGGAACACCAAUGGCGAAGGCAGCUCGCUGGGACGGUACUGACGCUGAGACGCGAAAGCGUGGGGAGCAAACAGG